Molecule: ribosomal RNA, 301 nt
Filed under: uncultured bacterium
Lineage: Bacteria
Description: partial 16S ribosomal RNA
Rfam family: Bacterial small subunit ribosomal RNA
Source: RNAcentral
CAGUCGCCACGGUAAUACGGAGGGGGCUAGCGUUGUUCGGAAUUACUGGGCGUAAAGCGUGCGCAGGCGGUUAUAUAAGACAGAUGUGAAAUCCCCGGGCUCAACCUGGGACCUGCAUUUGUGACUGUAUAGCUAGAGUACGGUAGAGGGGGAUGGAAUUCCGCGUGUAGCAGUGAAAUGCGUAGAUAUGCGGAGGAAUACCGAUGGCGAAGGCAGCCCCCUGGGAUAACACUGACGCUCAUGCACGAAAGCGUGGGGAGCAAACAGGAUUAGAUACCCCAGUAGUCCCUGUCUCUUAUAC